AGAGGAAUAUGUGGAUGAGUUUUGCACCUUAAACUGCCUCAUACCUCAAGCCACAGCAUUUGCGGCUCCCCCAUGCCCCCCUCCCAUCCCCUUCUUAGGAGAGCCUUUAAUAUGUAAAUGCCAGUGAUCAGGUCGGGAGCUGCUACAGUGAAUUUCAAGUGGGGUGGGGUGGGGUGAGGUCAGGUGGGUGGGAGGGAGUGGGGGGUCGGCAGGCCUGUUUCUAGGAUUUUGGGGUCCCUAGGCAACGGGAUUGUUGGGGGCCCUAGGGCAUUUUUUGGCCUUUUACUAAAAUGUGUGUGUGUGUGUGUGUGUGUGUGUGUGUGUGUGUGUGUGUGUGUGUGUGUGUGUGUGUGUGUGUGUGUGUGUGUGUGUCUGUAUGUAUGUUUGUUCACGCUGCCCAGUGGUGUUUUUCAGAAUCACUAACCAUUAAACCAGGGGUAGUGAACCUAUGUCUCGAGGGCCCUUGAGGCCGUUUUAUCCGGCCCCUGAUAUCAUUAUAAUGUUUUGCAACUUCACAUGAAAUAGGCCUAUGACAUAUUUUGCAGGCCUAAAGGAAUCUUAGAAAUUACAUUUCCAAUGCAAUUAAGUUAGGCCUAUAUUCAGGGGACCUAGAAAAGGUGGGGACUGUUUUAAAUGUGUCUACCUUUAAAGGUGUCUAUAUGUCUAUAUAGGCCUAAAGGUGUCUAUAUAUGCCUAAAUUUCAUGGGGAAAUCCUGAUUUGUGUUCAUAGUACGGCCCCGGAGGAUUUUAUGACCAUGGUAGGAAUUUGAAGUGGCCCUUCGAAUGAAAAAGGUUCCCCACCCCUGCAUUAAACCUUUCUUCUAGCCACAGCUCUGCUGUCAGUACAUUUUAUUAUGAUACUAUAAGCUCAGAAAUGAAGUUGAUCGAACAAUUCGAUCGGUGCUAUAAACAUUUAAAUGAACCGAAUAGAAAUCAGAAUAGAAACAUCUGAAUGAUCUUUCUUGGACAUAGCCUACAUUUUGAAGUGACCCUUUGAAUUAAAAAGGUUCCUCACCCCUGCUUUUGAGGAAAAACAUCAAUGUGCUUGGCCACUCUGGUUUUUAAAUUAUUCUGAACUAAAGCAAGGAUUGUUCAAGGAAGUUCAAAACAGACUGUCUCUGGUUAAAUUAGUUCUACACCAAGCCUUUAGGUGGCAGUACAACUAAUUCGCACAAUGCGAAUUCCACACACAAGCCACAAAGAAGCCAUCUACCGCGGUCAACAACACCGACCUAUCUGAACAGAACCACGCGCUGUCUGUGUGGUUUCACUGUUACAAGUUUCUUGGCGACAUGGGGGAAAGUUCCUCACAUACCAACGGAAAAUGGGCUUCACAUACAUGCUGCUGUCUCAUAAUAUGGCGAAGACGAGUCACUUGAAGGCCUAACAGCUCUUAUGAGGAGCAGUCUUGCCAUAGAAGACUGAAAGAAUGAGCUGUAGAAACAACAGGGUGCCUGCUGCAGUAUGACGAGGACGCCCUGAUCAUAGAAGGUCCAGUGUCUUGGCAGGGUGAAAUGCCACUGAUAUCGUGUCCUGCAGGAUGCUGUGUCCUGCAAUCCUGUGUGCUGUGCUACAGACGCGUGUGGAGGUCAACCCGAAAUGGGCACAGUAGCGUGAAAGAGGAUCCUGGCAGGGAGACGGUAGUGUCCUGCAGGAUGGUGAUGGGCAAUCUUACAAGAGACCACAGAAAACUGAUAUAGUCUCCCAGAAGUGAGACUGAGUGCCUGUUGCAGUAUGACGAGGAAGCAGUGACCAGAGACCUUCAGUAGACCCUGCUGGCAUGAUUGGCGGCUGAAGAACAUAAUCAACAGCAAUGUUUAUAAUAUUGUACAUACCUGUAUAGUCUGCACUAAAAUGCUGUACCUGUACUAUUUUUCCUCUUACUUUCAUAUUUACUAUGAAUUGACAACUUUUACUCAAAUCCAUUUUUGUAUGUGCCCUGACUAAAACUAUCCUUAAACCUAACCUGUCAGAGGUGUAAUAACAACCUGCUCUUAGCAAUGUGGCAGCAGUCUACUUGGAUGCAGCGGGGAACAUAGAACCCUUUUUUUGAAAAAGCAUUGUAUGUUUCUGAGUUUUAUGAAUUGUGCCCUUCCCAAACCUAACCUGUCGUAGGGGCCUAUGAAAUCCGUUUUUUUUAAUUAUUAUUAUUUACAUUUUUGAACUUAUU
Engraulis encrasicolus (European anchovy) is the source of this 2170-nucleotide long non-coding RNA. RefSeq lists it as uncharacterized. The record is from RefSeq and is a predicted model, not a curated record. The transcript is spliced from 6 exons. Lineage: Eukaryota; Metazoa; Chordata; Actinopteri; Clupeiformes; Engraulidae.